This 915-nucleotide ribosomal RNA is filed under the name Ascosphaera subcuticularis. RNAcentral's name for it is "partial large subunit ribosomal RNA". It matches the Rfam family "Eukaryotic large subunit ribosomal RNA", at positions 38 to 968 of the family's 3401-position model. The record is from RNAcentral. Lineage: Eukaryota; Fungi; Ascomycota; Eurotiomycetes; Onygenales; Ascosphaeraceae.
GCAUAUCAAUAAGCGGAGGAAAAGAAACCAACAGGGAUUGCCUCAGUAACGGCGAGUGAAGCGGCAAAAGCUCAAAUUUGAAAUCUGGCCUCUCCGGGGUCCGAGUUGUAAUUUGGAGAGGAUGCUCUGGGAGUGGUCGCGGUCCAAGUCCCCUGGAACGGGGCGUCGCAGAGGGUGAGAAUCCCGUCUUCGGCCGGCCGACUUCGCCCGUGUAGAGCUCCUUCGACGAGUCGAGUUGUUUGGGAAUGCAGCUCUAAAUGGGUGGUAAAUUUCAUCUAAAGCUAAAUACUGGUCGGAGACCGAUAGCGCACAAGUAGAGUGAUCGAAAGAUGAAAAGCACUUUGAAAAGAGAGUUAAAAAGCAUGUGAAAUUGUUGAAAGGGAAGCACAUGCGACCAGAGUCGGCCGUGGGUGUUCUUCGGGGGUUUUCCCCCCGUUUACUUGCCUGCGGUCGGGCCAGCAUCGGUUCUGGCGGCCGGUUAAAGGCUUUGGGAAUGUGUUGUCCUCCGGGACGUCUUAUAGCCCGAGGUGCAAUGCGGCCAGCCGGGACCGAGGAACGCGCUUCGGCACGGAUGCUGGCUUAAUGGUCGUCUGUGGCCCGUCUUGAAACACGGACCAAGGAGUCUAACAUCCACGCGAGUGUUAGGGUGUCAAACCCUUCCGCGCAGUGAAAGCGAACGGAGGUGAGAGCCCCUCGAGGGUGCAUCAUCGACCGAUCCUGAAGUCUUCGGAUGGAUUUGAGUAGGAGCGUGGCUGUUGGGACCCGAAAGAUGGUGAACUAUGCCUGAAUAGGGUGAAGCCAGAGGAAACUCUGGUGGAGGCUCGCAGCGGUUCUGACGUGCAAAUCGAUCGUCGAAUUUGGGUAUAGGGGCGAAAGACUAAUCGAACCAUCUGGUAGCUGGUUCCUGCCGAAGUU